RNAcentral lists this ribosomal RNA (373 nucleotides) under uncultured bacterium. RNAcentral's name for it is "bacterial SSU rRNA". It matches the Rfam family "Bacterial small subunit ribosomal RNA", at positions 430 to 793 of the family's 1533-position model. The record is from RNAcentral.
GCACUUUCAGUCGUGAGGAAGGUAGUGUAGUUAAUAGCUGCAUUAUUUGACGUUAGCGACAGAAGAAGCACCGGCUAACUCCGUGCCAGCAGCCGCGGUAAUACGGAGGGUGCGAGCGUUAAUCGGAAUUACUGGGCGUAAAAGCGCAUGCAGGUGGUUUUGUUAAGUCAGAUGUGAAAGCCCGGGGCUCAACCUCGGAAUAGCAUUUGAAACUGGCAGACUAGAGUACUGUAGAGGGGGUAGAAUUUCAGGUGUAGCGGUGAAAUGCGUAGAGAUCUGAAGGAAUACCGGUGGCGAAGGCGGCCCCCUGGACAGAUACUGACACUCAGAUGCGAAAAGCGUGGGGAGCAAACAGGAUUAGAUACCCUGGUAG